UUCCGUAGGGUGAACCUGCGGAAGGAUCAUUACCUAGAGUUUGUGGGCUUUGCCCGCUACCUCUUACCCAUGUCUUUUGAGUACUUACGUUUCCUCGGCGGGUCCGCCCGCCGAUUGGACAAAAUCAAACCCUUUGCAGUUGCAAUCAGCGUCUGAAAAACAUAAUAGUUACAACUUUCAACAACGGAUCUCUUGGUUCUGGCAUCGAUGAAGAACGCAGCGAAAUGCGAUAAGUAGUGUGAAUUGCAGAAUUCAGUGAAUCAUCGAAUCUUUGAACGCACAUUGCGCCCCUUGGUAUUCCAUGGGGCAUGCCUGUUCGAGCGUCAUUUGUACCUUCAAGCUUUGCUUGGUGUUGGGUGUUUGUCUCGCCUCUGCGUGUAGACUCGCCUUAAAACAAUUGGCAGCCGGCGUAUUGAUUUCGGAGCGCAGUACAUCUCGCGCUUUGCACUCAUAACGACGACGUCCAAAAGUACAUUUUUACACUCUUGACCUCGGAUCAGGUAGGGAUACCCGCUGAACUUAAGCAUAUCAAUAAGGCGGA
Molecule: ribosomal RNA, 541 nt
Filed under: Ascochyta rabiei
Lineage: Eukaryota; Fungi; Ascomycota; Dothideomycetes; Pleosporales; Didymellaceae
Description: eukaryotic LSU rRNA
Rfam family: 5.8S ribosomal RNA (bases 173-326)
Source: RNAcentral